RNAcentral lists this ribosomal RNA (703 nucleotides) under Ligilactobacillus animalis. Its description in RNAcentral is "bacterial SSU rRNA". It matches the Rfam family "Bacterial small subunit ribosomal RNA", at positions 70 to 743 of the family's 1533-position model. Lineage: Bacteria; Bacillati; Bacillota; Bacilli; Lactobacillales; Lactobacillaceae. The record is from RNAcentral.
CUUCUUUAUCACCGAGUGCUUGCACUCACCGAUAAAGAGUUGAGUGGCGAACGGGUGAGUAACACGUGGGCAACCUGCCCAAAAGAGGGGGAUAACACUUGGAAACAGGUGCUAAUACCGCAUACCAUAGUUACCGCAUGGUAANUAUGUAAAAGGUGGCUAUGCUACCGCUUUUGGAUGGGCCCGCGGCGCAUUAGCUAGUUGGUGAGGUAAAGGCUUACCAAGGCAAUGAUGCGUAGCCGAACUGAGAGGUUGAUCGGCCACAUUGGGACUGAGACACGGCCCAAACUCCUACGGGAGGCAGCAGUAGGGAAUCUUCCACAAUGGGCGAAAGCCUGAUGGAGCAACGCCGCGUGGGUGAAGAAGGUCUUCGGAUCGUAAAACCCUGUUGUUAGAGAAGAAAGUGCGUGAGAGUAACUGUUCACGUUUCGACGGUAUCUAACCAGAAAGCCACGGCUAACUACGUGCCAGCAGCCGCGGUAAUACGUAGGUGGCAAGCGUUAUCCGGAUUUAUUGGGCGUAAAGGGAACGCAGGCGGUCUUUUAAGUCUGAUGUGAAAGCCUUCGGCUUAACCGGAGUAGUGCAUUGGAAACUGGGAGACUUGAGUGCAGAAGAGGAGAGUGGAACUCCAUGUGUAGCGGUGAAAUGCGUAGAUAUAUGGAAGAACACCAGUGGCGAAAGCGGCUCUCUGGUCUGUAACUGA